RNA transcript from Phyllopteryx taeniolatus (common seadragon), 6302 nucleotides. It is a transcript of the gene named transmembrane and coiled-coil domain protein 3-like, with no coding region annotated. The transcript is spliced from 5 exons. Lineage: Eukaryota; Metazoa; Chordata; Actinopteri; Syngnathiformes; Syngnathidae. The record is from RefSeq and is a predicted model, not a curated record.
GACGGCAGAAGGGGAUGAAAACGAGACGGGAAGCAGAUGGCAGCGGGAAUCUGGCGGUUGCGGCAUUUUCAAAAUGGGCAGCAGCAGGCUCAGAAGUUGUUUUGGUCAACAAGUGUUCUUCAAAGUCAGAAAAACCGGGUCAGCGUCCAACAGUUGCGCUCGAAGCAGUGACGGGACUAGAGAUGAUUGUCAACUUGCACGGAACUCUCCGGAUCUAGACAGGAUUGACGUCGACAAAUGGGCACGACAGUGGUACCUUGACUUAUGAGUGCCGCAACUGUUUGUGCUUUGUGUUGGGAGCCAACAUUUGAGUCACUGCUGCUCGAGUGAUGUGAGUAAAAACUAUAAAGCAAUUGAGAUGGACCGUGGUCCUCAGUCGGAAAAGGGAAGCGUGCCCUCUCCAGGUCGUGGAAGAGAUCCUGCCUCAAGUGGAGGAGUUCAAGUAUCUCGGCGUCUUGUUCACGAGUGAGGGAAGAAUGGAGCGGGAGAUCGACGUGGAUCGGUGCAACGUCUUUGGCGAUGCGGACUCUGUAACGGUCUGUCGUGGUGAAAAAUAUUAACUAACCGGUCAGGUCGAUCUCGGUUCCUACCCUCACCUCUGCUCACGAGCUGUGAGUCGUGAGCGAAAGAACAAGAUGGCGGAUACAAGCUCGGUCAUCCGGGAGGGGCUCAGAGUCGAUCCGCCGCUCCGCCGCUCCUUCUCCGAGAGGAGCCAGAUGAGGUGGCUCGGGCAUCCCGGACGCCUCCCCGGUGAGGUGUUCCGGGCACAUCCCACCGGGAGGAGACCCCGGGGACGACCCAGGACACGCUGGAGAGACUCCGUCUCCCGGCUGACCUGGGAAGGCCUCGGAAUAACUGGACGAAGUGGUUGGGGAGAGGGAAGUCUGGGUUUCGCUGCUUGAGCUCCUGCCCCUGCGACCCAACCCUGGAUAAGUGGAAGAAGAUGGCGGGACAAUAUAGUGUUGUUUUUUUAAACAUUCUCUUGUUACGGUUUGGUUUUGCAACACCACUUUGGUGUUGACUCUACGCUUGAACUGGCCAAACUGGUUGUGAGCAAAGAAUGCGGCAGAGAAUCUGGUUUCGCCAUCGACGCCCGCCUCGCUUUGAUAUCCUCUUCCAGGCCUUCCGUUCACACAAACACGGGCAUAUACUCAUUUCCGCGACACAUAGUUUAGGAGAGUCGCGCUUGCCUUGGGGGAUUUCAGCCUUUACCUCCAACCCACGUGCCUCCACCUUUCUCUCUCUCUCUGCGGCGUGUAGUCCUCGCACAACACAAAGGCUCUUUCUAUUGCUCAGCAGCCAGUGAAAAAGGGCCCAGUUUGUCACCAUCCACCUCCGCCCGCAGCUGAGCUCCCUCAUGUGCGCUGACAUCACCGGCACGGAGCGCCCCCCCCCCCCCGAUCGGCGGCGGCCUCGGCGGACCGCAGUGCCGAGGGCACCUUUCUUGCGAGCAUGCGUCGAGGUUCCUCGGAGAACAACCUGGAUCUGGAUCUGAGCGAUGCCGUACCUGCUCCCUCUCUGGCCUUGGAGGUCCAGCGCAGCCGCUCCUGCUUGGACAACCUCCAGCAGAAGAUCCUGAAAGUGACGGAGCAGCUGAAGAUCGAGCAGACGGCGCGGGACGACAACGUGGCCGAGUACCUGAAGCUGGUGAACAGCGCGGACAAGCAGCAGGUGGGCCGCAUCAAGCAGGUGUUUGAGAAGAAGAACCAGAAGUCGGCGCAAAACAUCGCCCAAAUGCAGAAGAAGCUGGAGCAAUAUCACCGCAAGAUGAAGGACAGCGAACUCCAGCACACCCCGUCGCCGCAACCGUCCAGUGGCAAACACAGCACCAUACCCAGGGAGUCCCGCCGGGAGCUGCUGAGGGACAUGACGGGCAGCGGCCGACACCCGACCAUGGACAAGAUCAAGACCAUUGGACCCGGCGUUUCCCUCUCGCCCCCUUUCUUCUUCAGCAAACCCAGAGAAUUCGCUAAUCUCAUCAGGAACAAAUUCGGCAGCGCUGACAACAUCGCCCAAAUGAAGACCUCCAUGGACGCGUCCGCACCGCUGCCUGACGAGGCGGCGGCGAAGGGUCUGAGUAGCAGCGCCUCACUGGUGGGCAAGCCCAAGUAUCCCAGCGAUGACGAGUGCUCCACAGGGAGCGCCUCCAACUCGGCAGACAGUAACGGGCUCACGGCGGGCGCGCAAGGGCACGGCCAACAGGUGGGGGGCGACGCCCACGGCGGACUGGCCGUGAGCCUGGAGGAGGCCAGAGUCAUUAAAGACGCACAGAACCAACUGGGCGAGGACAUGGAGGAGAUCAAGGCCCAGUUCAAGAGGGAGUACGGUGUCAUCAACCAAACACUGCAGGAGGAGCGAUACAGGUAUGCGCGUUUGGAGGACCAACUCAACGACUUGACGGAGCUUCACCAACACGAGAUGACAGACCUGAAGCAAGAGCUGGCCAGCAUUGAGGAGCGGGUGGACUACCAGGCCCAAGAGAGAGCCCGCGACAUUCAGGAAGCUCUGGAGUCGUGUCAGACGCGGUUGUCCAAGCUGGAGUUCCAGCAGCAGCAGCAGCAGACGGUCCAGCUGGAGAGCGGCGACGCCCGCGUCCUCCUGGGCCGCAGCAUCAACAUCAUGUUGGCCAUCAUCACCGUCAUCCUCGUGUGCGUCUCCACCGCCGCCAAGUUCGCCGCCCCGCUCGUGAGGAGCCGCCAGCACGUCGUGGCCACCUUCUUCACCGUCUUCUUCAUCACCGUUUUCUGGAAGAACUGGGAGCGCUUGCAGUACGCCGUAGACAGAGUGCUGUUGCCUGCGUAACGACAACAAAACAAAUCAGCUGGGAGGUGAUUGGUUGUACAAUCGUCUGCAGGCGUUAGUCUCAAUUUUAAGAGUCAGGCUCAAGUGAAAUGAUUUUAUUUCCGGUCUUCAGUUUGAAUCUGUCUACCUAACAGUUCCAUUUAACCGCCAUCAUUCUAUUGCUAGUUUAUUAUACAGUGAACCCCCGUUUAUCGCAGGGACACGUUCCAGACGCACCUGCGACAAGUGAAAACCAGCAAAAUAGCAUUUUAAAAAUAGUUUGAACCCUCCCACACGCUUGAAACACAUUGAAAUGUAUUAAAACACAACUUAAACGUUUUAAAACACACUUAGGGAAGUAUUUCUCACUCUUUUACUUGAAGUAGGAGGUUAUCGUACAGUACAACAUCGCUUUGCGGAAACACAAUGAAGACUCGCGCUCGCACGCUUCUCCGAAUAAGAGGCAACGCGUGUAUGCUUCACGCGGUUGAAGUUUGUGAAAACUGUAAAACUGGCACAUAAUACAAAACAAAUUGUAAACGUAAACAAAAUGUUCAAGCAAACCAUCUAAUUUCAUCAAAUGAAAGUCUGCAAGCUUAAUGCUAACAUAUAAUGUGAAACGCCAUAGACAGGCUAACGGACCUUUGCACAGGUGUUAUGGUACAGUGGAUUGCUGCUGACCGCAAAUAGCGAAAAUCUGCAAAUGAAUGACUAUCUUAUAGUUGCCAUAAAAAAAAAAUAUGUUUUGGGAAAAAAAAAAAAAAAUAAUCAGUAUAAAGGAGACUUGGCGAAUGCCAAACCACAAAUAUGCGGGAGUUCAUGGUAAUUAUAAACCUUUGAAUAAAUGCUACUGAACACUCAUGCAACAAUGUGGUACUACUGUAAAAACCUGUAAAAAAAAAAAAAAAAAAACUUCAAUAUUUUCACUAAAGCGGGGGUGCGCUGUAUUUACCGAAUAAAACAAAAGGACCAAAACGGCUUUUGAAUUUAUUUUAAGCAGAAAGCCUUGAAGGAAGAAAAUAAAAGGCUUUAACGCUAAACGUGACGCCAACAGGAAGUUGUCUCAAAACUUGAAGUACUCUUUUUAAACACACUCACACUCGUACUCACUGCAUCGAAAGAUCGGCCUUUGCAAAGGUAACGAUAAUGAUCGCCCUAAUCAUAAUAAUUAUCGGCAAGCCACGCUUAAUCCACCUUUUUUGUUUCUUAAUCAAUAACUGGGGCAUCGGCUCGUGACUCGGUAUCGGCACAACCUCCAAAUCAGGUGACUUGCACCCGGCCGAAAAAGUGUAACACGUCUUGCUUCGCAUUAUUUCUUGGGUAUGCGCAUAACGCGCGUAGGCGUGCCUAAUGAAAUGUCCAGCGAGUGUAUUUCCUUUGUAAAAGUUGCACAUAUUUAAAUCGACUAACCUUGCACAAAUGGUAAAAAAAAAUACAUCGAAAAAUAAUUUCUUAAUCACAUUUUCUUAAUCGGGUUUGAAUCCCGAUCGAAGUCUCCAAAUUGUGCUUGCUUGUUUGUUGAUAUGCGAUUGAUUGUUGCAAUAAUCUCCAAUCUUUUGUCAUCUGUCAUUCCCCCCCCCCCCCCCCCCGAACUGUUCCUGAAUGGAUGAAUGUUUUUAAUUCAUCAUCUUUUUUUGUUUUGUUUUUAAUAUAUGUUUUUUUAAUGUUUUCCUGGUGUUUUUAAAGUGCAAUAUACACUACAGUGUACAUCAAGUUUGUGCUUAUUGGGCUUUGGGUUGAAAUUUCAGGAUGAACUUCAAUUAUUGUUUCAUUAGCUUUUUCUAUUACUCCCCCCCCCCCCCCCCCCCCCCCGCCCUUCCCUUUUUUAAUAUGGAUCAUCGAAAUAAACAUUCAAUUCAAUUCCAUUCAAUUCAAAUAACAUAUACCUCUAUGCCUUUCUGUGAGUCUUCCAGUAUCUGAGGUGACCCUUUGAGAACAUCUCGCUUGUGGCCUUCUGAGGCCGCCAUAUUUGAGGUUCAUUCUGAAGCCCAAUAUCACGAAUGUUUUGUGAGUAGCGCAUUUUCUUUUCUUUCUGCGAGCACUGCUUUUUUGUUUUUCUUUCUCUCUCUCUCUCUUUCUCUCUCUCUCUCUCUCUCUCUCUUCCCCCCCCCCCCCCCCCCCUCGUUUGUACUUCAUCGUACGAAUGUUACUUGCGACGAGACACCGGCGUUGCUGGAGGCCGGUCGUGGAAGCGUCUGUCGUGCUGCCGGAGAUCUACGAGCGCUUCAAGCUCCUGCUGGGCUCCGAUAAGACCUCAUCUCGUCUCUCCGGGGGCCAUUUCGCCCACCCUCCAAGCAGGCACACAAAAAACUCAGCACAGUGGCGUACCUUCUUUUUUUCCUUUCUUUUUUUACUAAUAUGUGAUUGUUUUGUCAGGGGUUAAACUGUGAUACUUUUUUUUUUUUUUAAAGCUCAAAACAACCUCGAAGGAAGACAGGAGCCCAUUCCAAAAGGAGCUUGGCAAUAAACUACAUUAAUAAUAAUACUAAUAAUUCUUGUUCAUGUGCAGAGGUGGUAAAAGUAAUCAAAAAAAGACCGGUUAAUGAGGAAGUACUAACCCUUUUGUAAAAAAAAAAAAAAAAAGUACUGAUUCGAGUCCUUUGCCUAAAACAACAACAAAAAAGUACUCCCAAUCUGUACUUGGGUAGAAGUUCAGAUGGAGGCAAAAUCGACUCACCAAGUAUUUGUACUUGGUUACUUCCCACCACUGUUCAUGUGAUAACCAAUGUUUACUUUUCUUACGUGUCUUUUUUUUUUUUUUUCCAACUUGGUCCACCCAGGUGGUCGAUCAGUUAGAGCGUCUGCCUCACCGUUCUGAGGAGCUGGGUUCAAUCCCCGCCCCCGCCUGUGUGGAGUUUGCAUGUUUUCUCCGGGCACUCCGGUUUCCUCCCACAUCCCAAAAACAUGCGCGGCAGGUUGAUUGAAGACUCUAAAUUGCCCGUAGGUGUGACUGUGAGCAUGAAUGGUUGUUUGUUUGUACGUGCUCUGUGAUUGGCUGGCGACCGGUUCAGGGUGUACCCCGCCUACCCCCCCCCCGAAGAUAGCUGGGAUGGGCUCCAGCACGCCCGCGACCCGCGUGAGGAGAAGCGGCUCGCAAAAUGGAAGGAUGUAUGGAUGGAUGGUCUACCGACUGAAUCUUAAGUUUUGCCUUCAAAACCCACACUUGGCGGUCAUAAUAUUAGGUACACCUCAAGUGGGAUCCAAUGCUAAGAGCUUGAUCAAAUAAUAAUAAUAAUCAUAAUAAUAAUAAAUACAUGAAUAACAUGUCGGCCAAGUUUUGAUUGACACCGUCAUUCCUAAAACUGAGCUUUGUUCUCUCUUGGCUGGCGUGAGAUUGUGCUGCAGGUGUACCUAAUGAAGCGGCCCGCCCGAGUGGGCAAACCUGGUUUACGUUAACCUCUCACCUCUGGUGCACAAUGUGAUCAAACAGAUGCGAUGGAUCAUUUGCAUUUCCGCGGAUCUGAUGUGCCUUUUGUCUUACAGUGAUGAUUGUUACAUUAAAAACCUUUUUAAUCACUUUA